GGGUUGUGAGGUUAAGCGACUAAGCGUACACGGUGGAUGCCCUGGCAGUCAGAGGCGAUGAAGGGCGUGCUAAUCUGCGAUAAGCGUCGGUAAGGUGAUAUGAACCGUUAUAACCGGCGAUACCCGAAUGGGGAAACCCAGUGUGAUUCGUCACACUAUCAUUAACUGAAUCCAUAGGUUAAUGAG
This 186-nucleotide ribosomal RNA is filed under the name Salmonella enterica. RNAcentral describes it as "partial 23S ribosomal RNA". It matches the Rfam family "Bacterial large subunit ribosomal RNA", at positions 1 to 178 of the family's 2925-position model. The record is from RNAcentral. Lineage: Bacteria; Pseudomonadati; Pseudomonadota; Gammaproteobacteria; Enterobacterales; Enterobacteriaceae.